CGUAGGGGGCAAGCGUUGUCCGGAAUCAUUGGGCGUAAAGCGCGUGUAGGCGGCCUUGUAAGUCCGUUCUGAAAGCCCGGGGCUCAACCCCGGGAGGCGGAUGGAUACUGCGAGGCUCGAGUCCGGAAGAGGCGAGUGGAAUUCCCGGUGUAGCGGUGAAAUGCGCAGAUAUCGGGAGGAACACCAAUGGCGAAGGCAGCUCGCUGGGACGGUACUGACGCUGAGACGCGAAAGCGUGGGGAGCAAACAGGAUUAGAUACCCUGGUAGUCCACGCCGUAAACGAUGGACACUAGGUGUGGGAGGUGUCGACUCCUUCCGUGCCGAAGCUAACGCAUUAAGUGUCCCGCCUGGGGAGUACGGCCGCAAGGCUA
This 372-nucleotide ribosomal RNA is filed under the name uncultured organism. RNAcentral describes it as "bacterial SSU rRNA". It matches the Rfam family "Bacterial small subunit ribosomal RNA", at positions 526 to 896 of the family's 1533-position model. The record is from RNAcentral.